GAUGAACGCUGGCGGCGUGCCUAAUACAUGCAAGUCGAACGGAGAGAAAGUAGCAAUACGAUCUCUUAGUGGCGAACGGGUGAGUAACGCGUUGGUGACCUGCCCCGAAGAGGGGGAUAACAGUUCGAAAGGAUUGCUAAUACCCCAUACGGUUGUUUAGAUUAGAAGCUAAACAACCAAAGGCGAAAGUCGCUUCGGGAGGGGCCUGCGUCCCAUCAGCUAGUUGGUAAGGUAACGGCUUACCAAGGCUACGACGGGUAGGGGACCUGAGAGGGUGGCCCCCCACAAUGGAACUGAAACACGGUCCAUACACCUACGGCUGGCAG
RNAcentral lists this ribosomal RNA (326 nucleotides) under uncultured Chloroflexota bacterium. RNAcentral's name for it is "bacterial SSU rRNA". It matches the Rfam family "Bacterial small subunit ribosomal RNA", at positions 28 to 351 of the family's 1533-position model. The record is from RNAcentral. Lineage: Bacteria; Bacillati; Chloroflexota.